RNAcentral lists this ribosomal RNA (504 nucleotides) under uncultured bacterium. RNAcentral describes it as "partial 16S ribosomal RNA". It matches the Rfam family "Bacterial small subunit ribosomal RNA", at positions 28 to 523 of the family's 1533-position model. The record is from RNAcentral.
GAUAAACGCUAGCGGCAGGCUUAACACAUGCAAGUCGAGGGGCAGCAUAGAUUGUAGCAAUACAAUUGGUGGCGGCCGGCGCACGGGUGCGUAACGCGUAUGCAACCUGCCCGUCACAGGGGGAUAAUCCGGAGAAAUCUGGUCUAAUACCCCAUAACAUAUGGAUCGGCAUCGGUUCAUGUUGAAAUUUUCGGAGGUGACGGAUGGGCAUGCGUAGCAUUAGCUUGUUGGUGAGGUAACGGCUCACCAAGGCGACGAUGCUUAGGGGGACUGAGAGGUUUUCCCCCCACACUGGUACUGAGACACGGACCAGACUCCUACGGGAGGCAGCAGUGAGGAAUAUUGGUCAAUGGGCGCAAGCCUGAACCAGCCAUGCCGCGUGCAGGAUGACGGCUCUAUGAGUUGUAAACUGCUUUUGUACGAGGGUAAAGUGGGUUACGUGUAACCUUUUGAAAGUAUCGUACGAAUAAGGAUCGGCUAACUCCGUGCCAGCCGCCGCGGUAA